This 497-nucleotide ribosomal RNA is filed under the name uncultured bacterium. Its description in RNAcentral is "bacterial SSU rRNA". It matches the Rfam family "Bacterial small subunit ribosomal RNA", at positions 28 to 515 of the family's 1533-position model. The record is from RNAcentral.
GAUGAACGCUAGCGGCAGGCCUAAUACAUGCAAGUCGUACGGCAACACAGUUGCGAGCAAUCGCAACCGGUGGCGAGUGGCGCACGGGUGAGUAACGCGUAUGUAACCUACCCUUCUCCGGGACAUAACUCCGCGAAAGCGGUGCUAAUAUCCCAUACCAACUCAUCAAGACAUCUUCUUGAGUUGAAAGCAGCAAUGCGGUGAAGGAUGGGCAUGCGUCCCAUUAGCUGGUUGGUGAGGUAAUGGCCCACCAAGGCUACGAUGGGUAGGGGUUCUGAGAGGAAGCCCCCCACACUGGUACUGAGACACGGACCAGACUCCUACGGGAGGCAGCAGUAAGGAAUAUUGGGCAAUGGUCGAAAGACUGACCCAGCCAUGCCGCGUGCAGGAUGAAGGCCCUAUGGGUUGUAACUGCUUUUAGCCGGGAAUAACACCCGUUUUAUAACGGGCCCGAAGGUACCGGCUGAAUAAGCAUCGGCUAACUCCGUGCCAGCACG